UACGUAUGGUGCAAGCGUUAUCCGGAUUUACUGGGUGUAAAGGGAGCGCAGGCGGCACGGCAAGCCUGAUGUGAAAGCCCGCGGCCCAACCGCGGGACUGCAUUGGGAACUACCGGGCUGGAGUGCCGGAGAGGUAGGCGGAAUUCCUAGUGUAGCGGUGAAAUGCGUAGAUAUUAGGAGGAACACCAGUGGCGAGGGCGGCCUACUGGACGGUGACUGACGCUGAGGCUCGAAAGCGUGGGGAGCAAACAGG
RNAcentral lists this ribosomal RNA (253 nucleotides) under uncultured bacterium. Its description in RNAcentral is "partial 16S ribosomal RNA". It matches the Rfam family "Bacterial small subunit ribosomal RNA", at positions 524 to 776 of the family's 1533-position model. The record is from RNAcentral.